AUGGAUUAUGUGUCCAAGAAAAUGUCCUCGUUGGAUGCAAAGCCUAUCCAAUUGCAUUUGCUAAAGACAAUCACAGAGGAUUUUUCAAAGAAGUUGAAAAUUGGUAGUGGUGGCUAUGGAGAAGUUUACAAGGGAGUGCUUAAUGGGCACGAAAUUGCUAUCAAGAAGCUUUUUCCCGUCCAUGGAGUUGAUGAUGAGGCAUUUGAUAAUGAAUUUCGCAACCUUAAGAAAGUUCAGCAUAAAAAUGUCAUACGGAUGAUUGGGUAUUGCUAUGAGAUAGCACAUAAAGAUGUUGAGUACCAAGGAAAAUUGGUUUGGUCUCAAGUAAUAGAUCGAGCUCUCUGCUUUGAAUAUAUGAAGGGAGGAAGCCUUGCCAAGCAUAUUUCUGCCGAGUCAUGCAUACAUAAUUGGCCGAUCACGUACAAAAUAAUUAAGGGGACAUGUGAGGGCCUCCACCACCUUCAUAAAGGAGGAGAAAAGAAGAUUUUUCAUCUAGACUUAAAGCCGGAUAAUGUAUUGCUGGAUGAAGAAUUGGUGCCUAAAAUAGGAGAUUUUGGUUUGUCCGAGCUCUUUGGGUCCUCGUAUACCCACCAACAAAGCAACACGAAAGGAACAAUUGGGUUCAUGCCACAAGAAUAUAUACACAAUCGCAAGGUGUCACCCAAGAAUGACGUGUUCAGUCUCGGAGUCAUAAUUUUCCACAUAAUGGCGGGAGAAAAGGGCUACAGCGAUUAUUGGGAUGCGCGCCGUCAUCCAAAGUUUUCCUCAAAAAUUCAACAUAAGUUUAUUGAGAGUGUACAAGAAUAUUGGAAGAAAAAGAUGGAGACAAUGGAAGGUUAUAGAUGGGACGAAACAGAUCUGCUAGGAGUAACGAGAUGUAUUGACAUGGCAAUGCGUUGUGUGGAGGACGACCGAGACAAAAGGCCUUAUAUAAAGGACAUUAUCAACGAGCUCAACAAACUAGAUUCUGAAGUCUCAGAGAUGUUAAAGAAAGAUCCGAAACCACCUAUUGGCCAGCUGGUAUAGUAUAUAACCUUCAUACUCACGUCCGUGCUCAUAUAUGUUGACCUCAUAUACGUAGCUGAACACACAUUCUAUCACUGAGAGUGAACCCCUUAAACUUUUGCCUUUGCAGAAAAGGAAAAACCGUGUCAAUGAUUUGGAAGCCGUGAAACAGAAUAAAAGCUUCAAAUAUUUGGGAAAAGAUAUUGUGGUUGAUCCAUCCCAGGAGCUUUGUUUCCCUUUCGAGUCAAAUAAG
Molecule: ribosomal RNA, 1258 nt
Filed under: Triticum aestivum (bread wheat)
Lineage: Eukaryota; Viridiplantae; Streptophyta; Magnoliopsida; Poales; Poaceae
Description: partial small subunit ribosomal RNA
Source: RNAcentral